UCCGUAGGUGAACCUGCGGAAGGAUCAUUACAGAAAGUAAACGCGGAUCGAACCGCGAACUUCUAAACCUUUGACGAUUGACUCAUGUUGCCUCGGCGGGUUCUCCCGCCAGAGGAUACAUCAAAACUCCUGUUUUAACGGUGUUGUCUGAGCUACAAGCAACGAAUCAAAACUUUCAACAACGGAUCUCUUGGUUCUGGCAUCGAUGAAGAACGCAGCGAAAUGCGAUAAGUAGUGUGAAUUGCAGAAUUCAGUGAAUCAUCGAAUCUUUGAACGCACAUUGCGCCCCUUGGUAUCCCGAGGGGCAUGCCUGUUCGAGCGUCAUUUCACCACUCAAGCCUGGCUUGGUGUUGGGCGACGUCCCCUUUGGGGACGCGCCUCGAAACGCUCGGCGGCGUGGCACCGGCUUUAAGCGUAGCAGAAUCUUUCGCUUUAAAAGUCGGGGCCCCGUCUGCCGGAAGACCUACUCGCAAGGUUGACCUCGGAUCAGGCAGGGAUACCCGCUGAACUUAAGCAUAUCAAUAAGCGGAGGA
RNAcentral lists this ribosomal RNA (533 nucleotides) under uncultured Cenococcum. RNAcentral describes it as "eukaryotic LSU rRNA". The stretch from base 171 to 324 matches the Rfam family "5.8S ribosomal RNA". Lineage: Eukaryota; Fungi; Ascomycota; Dothideomycetes; Gloniales; Gloniaceae. The record is from RNAcentral.